ACCUCUGCCCAAUGAAUCGUUUAAAUGGCCGCAGUAUUUUGACUGUGCAAAGGUAGCAUAAUCACUUGCCCUUUAAUUAGGGGCUGGAAUGAAGGAGGCGACGAGAUCUAGGCUAUUUAGAUUCUUACAGAAAUUGACAGGCGGGUCAAAAGGCCCGCGUGCGCCAAAGGGACGAUAAGACCCUAUAAAACUUUACUUUUAGUGCGGGGCCUGACAGGCCGGCCGUGUGCUUGAGAGUUCGACUGGGGCGGUAGUUAUAAAAACAAUGAUAUAUAAAAUAUAUUAAAUAGUGUGUUAGAGCUCUUUGAGAAAUAGAACAAGUUACUUUAGGGAUAACAGCGUAAUUCCCCCAGAGAGUUCUAAUUGGCGGGGGGGCUUACGACCUCGAUGUUGAAUUGGGGCACCGCGUAUAAGUAGAAAUAUAUGUAGACAGUCUGUUCGACCGUUAAACCCCC
RNAcentral lists this ribosomal RNA (455 nucleotides) under Proasellus strouhali. Its description in RNAcentral is "partial 16S ribosomal RNA". It matches the Rfam family "Bacterial large subunit ribosomal RNA", at positions 1855 to 2597 of the family's 2925-position model. Lineage: Eukaryota; Metazoa; Arthropoda; Malacostraca; Isopoda; Asellidae. The record is from RNAcentral.